Molecule: long non-coding RNA, 2067 nt
Organism: Numida meleagris (helmeted guineafowl)
Lineage: Eukaryota; Metazoa; Chordata; Aves; Galliformes; Numididae
Exons: 5
Source: RefSeq, a predicted model, not a curated record
GCUGGCUGCAGCGCCGCCUCAGGGGGAGGUGGGAGCGGCUCCUCCCCUCAGGGGGCGGUGCCCGGGGUGGAGGGGUUGCGGCGAGCAGCCGGGCGGCGUGGCUCGCUCUUUUUCGUUCGUGGGACGAUGCUCCGUGCAGCCCUAGGGCACCAGACCCCUCCCGGUUGCCCCCACGGGGCGAUAUCUGAGAGAGUGUAACGGCAGCUGGUCGAGACAGGGAAGCGGAAGGAAGAAAAAGUCCUAAACCAGCAAACACCACAGCAGCGCAGCUUUUACCGUUUUUUGUAAGCGUUCCCUUUCCCUGGGGACUAAGCACACCCGUCUGUCUCCUGGGGCUGCAAACACAUAUUUGCUUUUCAUCAUUUACAUAUUUCAACGGCCGACCUCCUGCUCGUCUUUCUUAGAAAAUCCCGUGAUGAGUGGUUGCCAAGAUAGAGAGUGGCAUUGGUUUUUCCAGUAACCCAGGGUCUCAAGCUGCUCGGGAUAUAGAUCAAUUUACUGAUUAUCUCAGGGAAAUCUCCAUGAGUACAACCUGGAGAAAGCGAUGACUGCAGCUCUUUCGAGUGGCUGAGCUGGAGGAGCGCAUCGGGGCGACUCUGCACGUGAAGUUCUGCAAAACACAUGAGAUGCUGGAGUUGUUGCAGCAGUUAUCCUGACAUUAACCACUAAGGCUGUAAACCUUCCCUUCAACCAGAAAUAACACUUGAAGAAAAAUCCUGGAGGGAAGACAGAAGGAGCAAAUUGGCCAUGUGAAACAAGGACAGGAGGAACAGAGGAGGUGAGAGGCUUGCUGGGUCUGAGCCUGCUGUGGACCUCCCUCUGCCAUGCACUUGUCUGAGGUGCUCCUGCCUCCAACCUCCUUACAGCCCAGCCAGGAACCCACAUCUGUCUUCAGUCUCACAAAGAAUGAACUCCUUAAUCAGAACCUCUGCAAACCAAACCCUCUCUAGGAACUGAGAGAGGAUGGUCCAAGCUGUAAAGCAGCCAGCUUCCCAACAUGUCAGUUCUGAGUAUGGCUCUUUCACUUUCCAAAUGAGACAGGACAACUGUGCAGCUCAGGCUUCCAGUGGGAAUCAUCCCUACCUUACUGCUUUAAAUGCUUAUUUAAAAAACCCAGAAACUGUGAGAAGAGAAAACCAAGUGUUGCUUGAGUUCUCACAGUUUUACUGGCAGAAUGUCAACAUAAUAUUUUAUAUAGUGCACAUGCUGGUAAGGCACUGAGAUAAGCAGAAAGUCUGAGAUUUCCCUGCCUAACAGUUCUCUGAUGCUCUUGAUUUUGUAAAUCUCUUUAUUCUGUAGUAUGUGAUGGGGAAAGGCCACCUCAGUGAUGAGAAAAGCCACUGUAGGGAACGACAAUAAUAAGUGCUUAUGUCCAGCUUUGGUUCUAAGCUCUUUUGUGCUUGGAUUUAUGAAAGCUGCUUUUAUUAUUGUUGUUUUUAUCUCUUCAGCUGGUCGGAGACAGUGUAUUAGUCAGAUGUGUGGGUAGCGAAUUACCUGUGAUAUCAAACUACGUGUUGUUAAUUAAAAAUACGUGCCUUUGACAUAUUAAGCAUCCAUUAAGGGCUCCAUCGUUUGUCUGGAGCGGCACUGUGCAUUGCGCUGGAGGAAUCGGAUGAGCUGUCGAGACCUGAGGGCUGCCUUGUGAGGAGCCCAACUGGGCAGAUUAAAGGAUGGAACUGUUGUUUUGGAUUAUACAUUUGGUAUUGCUUUUGCUUAUCUCACAAGGAAUAAAUCUCGAGGGCUUAGCUGGAUGUCUGGGUGAGAACUAGCAGGUGAAGUACCGCCUUCUUUUACUGGUGAAAUUGUUCUUCUGAUUUGAUCGGAAUAGUGCAGCACGGUGCCUGCUGGUGAUCGUAUCCUUGUAGCUGGAGGUUUUCAGGGAGAUGAGAAAUCGGAUUUUUUUAAACUUGAUGUGAUGCGCUGCUAAUUUGAGCAAUAUUUAUUUUCCCACAGGCAGUGUUUCCAGAGGCGUGUGCAAACGGAGGUUUGCAGCACUGUGCUAUUGCCUUUAAACUGAAAGCUGGCUUCCUUUCUCUUAAGAAGCAGGCAUUAAGCAUAAGGGAUUAA